CAGUCGCCGCGGUAAUACAGAGGGUGCAAGCGUUAAUCGGAAUUACUGGGCGUAAAGCGCGCGUAGGUGGUUUGUUAAGUUGGAUGUGAAAGCCCCGGGCUCAACCUGGAAACUGCAUCCAAAACUGGCAAGCUAGAGUACGGUAGAGGGUGGUGGAAUUUCCUGUGUAGCGGUGAAAUGCGUAGAUAUAGGAAGGAACACCAGUGGCGAAGGCGACCACCUGGACUGAUACUGACACUGAGGUGCGAAAGCGUGGGGAGCAAACAGGAUUAGAUACCCCUGUAGUCCCUGUCUCUUAUAC
This 301-nucleotide ribosomal RNA is filed under the name uncultured bacterium. RNAcentral's name for it is "partial 16S ribosomal RNA". It matches the Rfam family "Bacterial small subunit ribosomal RNA", at positions 509 to 807 of the family's 1533-position model. The record is from RNAcentral.